RNAcentral lists this unclassified non-coding RNA (224 nucleotides) under uncultured Marasmiaceae. RNAcentral's name for it is "sequence contains ITS1". The record is from RNAcentral. Lineage: Eukaryota; Fungi; Basidiomycota; Agaricomycetes; Agaricales.
UUGAAACAUUGUAAAGGAGAGUUGAGCUGGUCCUUCAAGGACAAGUGCUUGCUUUUCUUUCAAUAUUCAUCCACCUGUGCACUUUUUGUAGAGAGUUUCUAAGAAAACGGGCCUUAAUUGGCCUCGAGUAUUGGGCUCUCUAUGUCUUUUACAAACCCUUAAUGUAUGUCAUUGAAUGUCUUUUACAAAGGGGGACUUAGUUGAACCCUUUUAUAAAAACAAUA